GUCAGCGUGGCAUAGUGGUUUGAGUGUUGGACUACUACUCUGGAAACCAGGGUUUGAAUCCUGGCUUGGACA
Molecule: non-coding RNA, 72 nt
Organism: Phrynosoma platyrhinos (Desert horned lizard)
Lineage: Eukaryota; Metazoa; Chordata; Lepidosauria; Squamata; Phrynosomatidae
Source: the annotation of a GenBank genome assembly